GGGUUGUGAGGUUAAGCGACUAAGCGUACACGGUGGAUGCCCUGGCAGUCAGAGGCGAUGAAGGACGUGCUAAUCUGCGAAAAGCGUCGGUAAGGUGAUAUGAACCGUUAUAACCGGCGAUGUCCGAAUGGGGAAACCCAGUGCAAUUCGUUGCACUAUCGUUAACUGAAUACAUAGGUUAACGAGGCGAACCGGGGGAACUGAAACAUCUAAGUACCCCGAGGAAAAGAAAUCAACCGAGAUUCCCCCAGUAGCGGCGAGCGAACGGGGAGCAGCCCAGAGUCUGAAUCAGCUUGUGUGUUAGUGGAACGGUCUGGAAAGUCCGACGGUACAGGGUGAUAGUCCCGUACACCAAAAUGCACAGGCUGUGAACUCGAAGAGUAGGGCGGGACACGUGGUAUCCUGUCUGAAUAUGGGGGGACCAUCCUCCAAGGCUAAAUACUCCUGACUGACCGAUAGUGAACCAGUACCGUGAGGGAAAGGCGAAAAGAACCCCGGCGAGGGGAGUGAAAAAGAACCUGAAACCGUGUACGUACAAGCAGUGGGAGCACCUUCGGGUGUGACUGCGUACCUUUUGUAUAAUGGGUCAGCGACUUAUAUUCUGUAGCAAGGUUAACCGUAUAGGGGAGCCGCAGGGAAACCGAGUCUUAACUGGGCGUUAAGUUGCAGGGUAUAGACCCGAAACCCGGUGAUCUAGCCAUGGGCAGGUUGAAGGUUGGGUAACACUAACUGGAGGACCGAACCGACUAAUGUUGAAAAAUUAGCGGAUGACUUGUGGCUGGGGGUGAAAGGCCAAUCAAACCGGGAGAUAGCUGGUUCUCCCCGAAAGCUAUUUAGGUAGCGCCUCGUGAAUUCAUCUUCGGGGGUAGAGCACUGUUUCGGCUAGGGGGUCAUCCCGACUUACCAACCCGAUGCAAACUACGAAUACCGAAGAAUGUUAUCACGGGAGACACACGGCGGGUGCUAACGUCCGUCGUGAAGAGGGAAACAACCCAGACCGCCAGCUAAGGUCCCAAAGUCAUGGUUAAGUGGGAAACGAUGUGGGAAGGCACAGACAGCCAGGAUGUUGGCUUAGAAGCAGCCAUCAUUUAAAGAAAGCGUAAUAGCUCACUGGUCGAGUCGGCCUGCGCGGAAGAUGUAACGGGGCUAAACCAUGCACCGAAGCUGCGGCAGCGACACUAUGUGUUGUUGGGUAGGGGAGCGUUCUGUAAGCCUGCGAAGGUGUGCUGUGAGGCAUGCUGGAGGUAUCAGAAGUGCGAAUGCUGACAUAAGUAACGAUAAAGCGGGUGAAAAGCCCGCUCGCCGGAAGACCAAGGGUUCCUGUCCAACGUUAAUCGGGGCAGGGUGAGUCGACCCCUAAGGCGAGGCCGAAAGGCGUAGUCGAUGGGAAACAGGUUAAUAUUCCUGUACUUGGUGUUACUGCGAAGGGGGGACGGAGAAGGCUAUGUUAGCCGGGCGACGGUUGUCCCGGUUUAAGCAUGUAGGCUGAUUGUCCAGGCAAAUCCGGAUAAUCAAGGCUGAGGUGUGAUGACGAGGCACUACGGUGCUGAAGUAACAAAUGCCCUGCUUCCAGGAAAAGCCUCUAAGCAUCAGGUAACAUCAAAUCGUACCCCAAACCGACACAGGUGGUCAGGUAGAGAAUACCAAGGCGCUUGAGAGAACUCGGGUGAAGGAACUAGGCAAAAUGGUGCCGUAACUUCGGGAGAAGGCACGCUGGUGUGUAGGUGAAGUCCCUGCGGAUGGAGCUGAGACCAGUCGAAGAUACCAGCUGGCUGCAACUGUUUAUUAAAAACACAGCACUGUGCAAACACGAAAGUGGACGUAUACGGUGUGACGCCUGCCCGGUGCCGGAAGGUUAAUUGAUGGGGUUAUCCGUAAGGAGAAGCUCUUGAUCGAAGCCCCGGUAAACGGCGGCCGUAACUAUAACGGUCCUAAGGUAGCGAAAUUCCUUGUCGGGUAAGUUCCGACCUGCACGAAUGGCGUAAUGAUGGCCAGGCUGUCUCCACCCGAGACUCAGUGAAAUUGAACUCGCUGUGAAGAUGCAGUGUACCCGCGGCAAGACGGAAAGACCCCGUGAACCUUUACUAUAGCUUGACACUGAACAUUGAGCCUUGAUGUGUAGGAUAGGUGGGAGGCUUUGAAGCGUGGACGCCAGUCUGCGUGGAGCCAACCUUGAAAUACCACCCUUUAAUGUUUGAUGUUCUAACGUUGGCCCCUUACCGGGGUUGCGGACAGUGUCUGGUGGGUAGUUUGACUGGGGCGGUCUCCUCCCAAAGCGUAACGGAGGAGCACGAAGGUUAGCUAAUCCUGGUCGGACAUCAGGAGGUUAGUGCAAUGGCAUAAGCUAGCUUGACUGCGAGCGUGACGGCGCGAGCAGGUGCGAAAGCAGGUCAUAGUGAUCCGGUGGUUCUGAAUGGAAGGGCCAUCGCUCAACGGAUAAAAGGUACUCCGGGGAUAACAGGCUGAUACCGCCCAAGAGUUCAUAUCGACGGCGGUGUUUGGCACGUCGAUGUCGGCUCAUCACAUCCUGGGGCUGAAGUAGGUACCAAGGGUAUGGUUGUUCGCCAUUUAAAGUGGUACGCGAGCUGGGUUUAGAACGUCGUGAGACAGUUCGGUCCCUAUCUGCCGUGGGCGCUGGAGAAUUGAGGGGGGCUGCUCCUAGUACGAGAGGACCGGAGUGGACGCAUCACUGGUGUUCGGGUUGUCAUGCCAAUGGCACUGCCCGGUAGCUAAAUGCGGAAGAGAUAAGUGCUGAAAGCAUCUAAGCACGAAACUUGCCCCGAGAUGAGUUCUCCCUGAGACUUUAAGUCUCCUGAAGGAACGUUAAAGACGAUGACGUUGAUAGGCCGGGUGUGUAAGCGCAGCGAUGCGUUGAGCUAACCGGUACUAAUGAACCGUGAGGCUUAACCUUACAACGCCGAAG
This 2923-nucleotide ribosomal RNA is filed under the name Klebsiella pneumoniae. Its description in RNAcentral is "bacterial LSU rRNA". It matches the Rfam family "Bacterial large subunit ribosomal RNA". Lineage: Bacteria; Pseudomonadati; Pseudomonadota; Gammaproteobacteria; Enterobacterales; Enterobacteriaceae. The record is from RNAcentral.